Eriocheir sinensis (Chinese mitten crab) is the source of this 1128-nucleotide long non-coding RNA. RefSeq lists it as uncharacterized. NCBI's taxonomy places the organism in Eukaryota, Metazoa, Arthropoda, Malacostraca, Decapoda, Varunidae. The record is from RefSeq and is a predicted model, not a curated record. The transcript has 3 exons.
UCAAAACACUCGUAAAGCAAGGCACUCAUAAGCCAAGGUAAUACUGUACAAGGACUAUUUCAAGGCAUUUAUUAGUGAUUUAGUUUUGCUCGUAAUUCAAAACACUCGUAAAGCAAGGCACUCAUAAGCCAAGGUAAUACUGUACAAGGACUAUUUCAAGGCAUUUAUUAGUGAUUUAGUUUUGCUCGUAAUUCAAAACACUCGUAAGGCAAGGCACUCAUAAGCCAAGGUAAUACUGUACAAGGACUAUUUCAAGGCAUUUAUUAGUGAUUUAGUUUUGCUCGUAAUUCAAAACACUCGUAAGGCAAGGCACUCAUAAGCCAAGGUAAUACUGUACAAGGACUAUUUCAAGGCAUUUAUUAGUGAUUUAGUUUUCCUCAUAACUCAAAACACUCAUAAAGCAAGGCACUCGUAAGCCAAGGUAAUACUGUACAAGGACUAUUUCAAGGCAUUUUUUAGUGAUUUAGUUUUGCUCAUAAUUCAAAACACUCAUAAAGCAAGGCACUCAUAAGCCAAGGUAUUACUGUACAAGGACUAUUUCAAGGCAUUUAUUAGUGAUUUAGUUUUGCUCAUAACUCAAAACACUCAUAAAGCAAAGCACUCAUAAGCCAAGGUAUUACUGUACAAGGACUAUUUCAAGGCAUUUAUUAGUGAUUUAGUUUUGCUCAUAACUCAUAACACUCAUAAAGCAAAGCACUCAUAAGCCAAGGUAUUACUGUACAAGGACUCUUUCAAGGCAUUUAUUAGUGAUUUAGUUUUGCUCAUAACUCAAAACACUCAUAAAGCAAGGCACUCAUAAGCCAAGGUAUUACUGUACAAGGACGUUUUGCCUUGGGAGCUUACGAACUUGCUAUAUUGGACUGUAAAACUGGCCCUUAAUGUGCAUAGCUGUGGUUGCCCUCCCUUCCGGCUGCCUGGCCACUCAGAGCCUAGUAUUAGGUCUGUAGCUUAACACUUGGGACCUACUAUAGUUACCUUAGUCUUUGCCAAGGAGGACGCCACUUUCUUCUUCUCUUAGUAAAUAUGGUCCAAUCCACAGCCCAGGACAGCGUGAUUGUCAGCCCCCAAACUAACCUAAAACUACAUAUUUAUUGUCGUUGUUGGUGUUUAUGAAGUAAAUUGAAGGUC